This 664-nucleotide long non-coding RNA is filed under the name Felis catus (domestic cat). RNAcentral's name for it is "lncRNA (ENSFCAG00000051266.1)". Lineage: Eukaryota; Metazoa; Chordata; Mammalia; Carnivora; Felidae. The record is from RNAcentral.
AGUUUUAUGAUACAGACAGGAAAUAAAGGCACACCUUUGAGGCACACCCUUCAGUCCGCUACAAGUUUGGGACACCUCCUAGCUGAGGGACCAAAAUUCAACUUAUGGAAUUAUAUGCUAAGUUUAAUAUACAGAGGAUAAAUUUUACCUAAAAUUUGGCAAGACUUCAGGCUGUCUCUGAUGCCCAGCCCUAAGAAAUCUAGACAGUUGGGGAAAUCAUGCUAGAUAUGCUUUAGGGUACCUGGCCCCUAAAGGAGCUGACUGAUCAUCAGGUCACAGGUUCACCUGCUGCCAUCGCAGAAGAUUGGACCAGGGUGGUUGAACAUCUAACUAGAAGACACCUAAGGAUCGGUGAUCUUCAACUUCCAAACCCAAUCUGGAAAAGGGAGCUAGGCUCAUCAGAUACCCUCUGGGAAGAGCCUGACUUAGAAAUUCAGAGGGGUCGCCUGGGUGGCUCAGUCGGUUAAGCAUUCAACUCUUGAUUGUAGCACAGGUCAUGAUAUCCCGGUUGGUGACAUGGAACCCCACGUCCGGCUCUGUGUACUGACAGCUCAGAGCCUGCUUGGGAUACUCUCUCUCCUUCUCUCUCUGCCCCUCCCCUGCUCAUGCUGUGCGCUCUCUCUCUCAAAAUAAACUUUUUUUUCAAAAUAUAUUAAUAAACUUA